AACUCUGAGAAUAUGGAAUGGAAUCUGACGUCAUCACGGCGCUGCUGCUGUCUUGUGUUUUAGAUCAUUAUCCGUACAGCUCUUGGUGCUGCUAGACGUGUGUGUCACUAUGAGCGAGUCAGCAUGAAAUCUAGUAUCAGUAAUCCUAAAUAAUGAGGAGAUAAUGAACACCCUGGUGAAUAUGUGUAACAUAGGCCAAAAUAAUACUGGUAAACAUAUUCAACACCGUU
Long non-coding RNA from Sebastes umbrosus (honeycomb rockfish), 230 nucleotides. RefSeq lists it as uncharacterized. The record is from RefSeq and is a predicted model, not a curated record. Lineage: Eukaryota; Metazoa; Chordata; Actinopteri; Perciformes; Sebastidae. The transcript has 2 exons.